RNAcentral lists this unclassified non-coding RNA (253 nucleotides) under uncultured Rickettsiales bacterium. RNAcentral's name for it is "contains 16S-23S intergenic spacer region". It matches the Rfam family "Bacterial small subunit ribosomal RNA", at positions 524 to 776 of the family's 1533-position model. Lineage: Bacteria; Pseudomonadati; Pseudomonadota; Alphaproteobacteria; Rickettsiales. The record is from RNAcentral.
UACGAAGGGUGCUAGCGUUGUUCGGAAUUACUGGGCGUAAAGAGCGCGUAGGCGGUUUAGUAAGUUGGAAGUGAAAGCCCAGGGCUUAACCUUGGAAUUGCUUUCAAAACUACUAGACUUGAGAUCGGUAGGGGAUAGUGGAAUUCCUAGUGUAGAGGUGAAAUUCGUAGAUAUUAGGAGGAACACCGGUGGCGAAGGCGGCUAUCUGGACCGAAUCUGACGCUGUGGCGCGAAAGCGUGGGGAGCAAACAGG